RNAcentral lists this ribosomal RNA (251 nucleotides) under uncultured bacterium. RNAcentral's name for it is "partial 16S ribosomal RNA". It matches the Rfam family "Bacterial small subunit ribosomal RNA", at positions 524 to 776 of the family's 1533-position model. The record is from RNAcentral.
GACGGGGGGGGCAAGUGUUCUUCGGAAUGACUGGGCGUAAAGGGCACGUAGGCGGUGAAUCGGGUUGAAAGUGAAAGUCGCCAAAAAGUGGCGGAAUGCUCUCGAAACCAAUUCACUUGAGUGAGACAGAGGAGAGUGGAAUUUACGGUGUAGCGGUGAAAUGCGUAGAUAUUGGGAGGAACACCGGUGGCGAAGGCGGCUACCUGGACCGGUACUGACGCUGAGGCGCGAAAGCUAGGGUAGCAAACAGG